UGGGCUGCAACCCGCCCACAUGAAGUUGGAGUUGCUAGUAAUCGCGAAUCAGCAUGUCGCGGUGAAUACGUUCCCGGGCCUUGUACACACCGCCCGUCACACCAUAGGGGUUGAGAGCACCCGAAGUCAGUGAGGGAACCGAAAGGGCCCAGCUGCCGAAGGUGAGAUCGAUGACUGGGGUGAAGUCGUAACAAGGUAAC
Molecule: ribosomal RNA, 200 nt
Filed under: uncultured bacterium
Lineage: Bacteria
Description: partial 16S ribosomal RNA
Rfam family: Bacterial small subunit ribosomal RNA
Source: RNAcentral